Molecule: small RNA, 28 nt
Filed under: Bombyx mori (domestic silkworm)
Lineage: Eukaryota; Metazoa; Arthropoda; Insecta; Lepidoptera; Bombycidae
Description: ovarian small RNA-34527
Source: RNAcentral
UGGACACUGACGGCGCGGCUGGCCCAUA